Molecule: long non-coding RNA, 1857 nt
Organism: Carassius auratus (goldfish)
Lineage: Eukaryota; Metazoa; Chordata; Actinopteri; Cypriniformes; Cyprinidae
Exons: 3
Source: RefSeq, a predicted model, not a curated record
CUAGCAGCAGCACACCCUACACAGUGUACAGAGACUCGUGUGAGUUUGCAGACGGAGCUCAGAGCAGGAUUCACUCUGGACCUUUAUCUCUUCAAGACUUCAUCUAGAUUCUGCACGGUUUUAGAAACAUUCUGGAUCAUUCUGCAUUCCUCCUCUUCUCACAGAGUCGAAAUUGAGUAUAGAAAGGAAAAAACACAUACAGAAACUGCCAUCAGAAACCACAGAUGAGAAAAAUGGAGGACAGAAAUGAAACACAAACCACUGGAUCUCAAGAGAAAAGCAGACAGAAAUUUGAUAGAUGGCACAGUAUUGACAGAAAAAGACCAUGGUUGUCAGAUGAUCCAGGAGUGGAGGGAAAGUUUCAUUCUGAUGUUAAAAGCUGUUCAGCAUCAGUGAGACACCAGCAGCUGAAGACCUGAACAUCUUCAUCAACAUCAACAUCAUCAUCAUCUUCAUCAUCUCAGACUCCAUCUCUCCAGUCUCCAGACUCCAGUCUCUUCAGCUCCAGAACUGUUUUCAGACUCAUCUGAUCACAAACUAACAGACUAAUGAACCGUUUCUUUCUCAGAUCUGUGUCUGAGAACCGUUUUAUUGAUCUGGAGCAGCACUUUAUGAGAUUAUUUUCACAUCUGCAUCACACAGAGACUCGUUUUUCUUUGACAAAAUAUCAGUUCGAGUGUUCACUGCAUCAUAUAUAUUCCAUGCAUUUUCAUUUCUGUAUUUCUGUAUAUUGUGAAUCAUUUAAGAGAUUCUAUCCACCUUAUUUAAUGCUAACAGAAACGCAGGCGUGACUAUUUGUUAUUAAAUGUACAGUAUCUGGCUUCCGCUGUUGUACAGUUCCAGUUAUUUUUAGCACGUUAUGUUUCCUGACAUUGAAAAACCAGUCCAGUAUUGUAGAGAUUCUCAAGUCUGGCUCAGGAUCCACUUUCCUGCCGAGUCUAUCUCCAAUCCUGAUCAAACUCACUCUUUCUAGCGAUCCUGAAGACCUUGAUCAACCGGUUCAGGUGUGUUCGAUGAGGGCUGGAGAAAAACCCUGAAACAACUGCCUUAUUGCUUGUCAUGUUAUUUUAAUGUAUUGUCAUAAUUACUGUAUAAAUACACCGGUCUGUAGUGUGAAUAGAUUUACCGUUUACAGCACUCUAAUCCGAGUUAUUUGCAUAUUACAGCUAAUGGAAAUAAAGAAUUACACAUUCACAGAAAAUUGCUUAAAUGUUGCAAAAUAAGGUGGAUUUUUCUCUUUCUAUUUUUUUUGUACCAUUCCAUACUGUUUAUUGAACAUUCAUUACUCAUCUUUUCAGUCUGUUCUAAAAGAAUGCUGAAAUAACACUAUUAAACAUCAUAUUUGCGUGUUGCUUGUGUGUGAAGGUGCUGUAUAGUGUUGCGUGUACAGUUGUAAGUGUUUACUGUACCAGUGUUUGUGUUGCUGUAAUAGUGUUUCCUGUACUGUAAUCUCACUGUACUGUAAUCUGCUGACAGACUAACAGUAACAGUGUAACUGUGAAUCCUGUCCAGUCUCUUGCUGUCAGUAUCUGAUCUACUGUUCUUUGCACUGAUGAAACUGAUUUAGCAUGAAGAUGAACUCCAUUUCAAUUACUGUCAUCAAAACCACUGCCAGAGUUUACAUCAGGAAACACUGACAGACGGACAACACACUAAACAUGUUCAUAUCUGGACUGAGAUCAGUCACACAAGUAUUCAUUCUGAUCACACUGAUAUGACAUUAAUACUUAUGAAAAAUGAACUGAUGAAAGAUGAUGAAGUUACAGGCUUUUCCAGACUUUUGUAGCGAUGCUGUUUGUACAGACUGUUUAGUGCAACACACUUACUGCUUUACAAAUAUUAAAGAUGCUUUGAGAA